GGGUUGUGAGGUUAAGCGACUAAGCGUACACGGUGGAUGCCCUGGCAGUCAGAGGCGAUGAAGGGCGUGCUAAUCUGCGAUAAGCGCCGGUAAGGUGAUAUGAACCGUUAUAACCGGCGAUACCCGAAUGGGGAAACCCAGUGUGACUCGUCACACUAUCAUUAACUGAAUCCAUAGGUUAAUGAGGCGAACCGGGGGAACUGAAACAUCUAAGUACCCCGAGGAAAAGAAAUCAACCGAGAUUCCCCCAGUAGCGGCGAGCGAACGGGGAGGAGCCCAGAGCCUGAAUCAGCAUGUGUGUUAGUGGAAGCG
RNAcentral lists this ribosomal RNA (312 nucleotides) under Salmonella enterica. RNAcentral's name for it is "partial 23S ribosomal RNA". It matches the Rfam family "Bacterial large subunit ribosomal RNA", at positions 1 to 308 of the family's 2925-position model. The record is from RNAcentral. Lineage: Bacteria; Pseudomonadati; Pseudomonadota; Gammaproteobacteria; Enterobacterales; Enterobacteriaceae. RNAcentral also lists the same sequence under 1 other name.